Molecule: long non-coding RNA, 600 nt
Filed under: Homo sapiens (human)
Lineage: Eukaryota; Metazoa; Chordata; Mammalia; Primates; Hominidae
Description: HSALNT0400663
Source: RNAcentral
GACACACUGAGACCUUUCACAUCUCACUGUCACUUCUUGGAAGGGCUCUCUACCUCGUCUGCCUGCUGAGCAACCUCUUGGGGAGACGCGGGCACUCUUGAGUCACUGAACUUGAGCUAUUUGGUGUUGGGAGCUUAUAGCUUCAUUGCACUGUGUGUGGCAUUUGGGUCCUGUUUGGCAGCAAUGACUGCCUUUCUGUUUAGUGUCUGUGUGCUAUGAAGAUUGCACACAGGGGUCCAGAUGCAUCCUGUUUUGAGAAUGUCAAUGGAUACACCAGCUGCUGCUUUGGAUUUCACCCAUUGGUGGUAGUUGACCUGCUGUUUGGAAUGCAGACAAUUUAAGUGAAGACAUAUCCAUAUAUGUGGCUCUGUUACAAUGGUGAAAUCUACAACCAUAAGAAGGUAGGGAAAAAGAAGCCAGAUGUCUGGAUGCGAUUAAACUUCAGAGGUUGUUGGUUACGAUGACAUUAUGUAUUCUGUAUCAUGCUUUUUACUUUGCAAAGCAUUCUAUGUUAUCUCAUUUGCUCUAAGUGUGUAGAUAGGGAACUGAUGAAUAAAAUGGUGAGUGAAAUCACUUGGUCACAAAAAAAGUGAUAAAAAU